UGCGAAGUAAACGCUCAGUAGCCUAAACGCUGUCAUUUAACCAAGCCUUUGUCUGUUUGUUGGAUUUCACUGAUUUACGGAUAUACUGCCUGUUUCGGAUUCCGAUUUCCUGGCUAGCCCCGUUUGGAUUGUUCGCCUGGACUUCGUCUGUUUUUUCGGAUCUCGUCUUCAAUUUGAUCCUCAUCUUCCUGUUACUGCACCGCCCGUGCUUGUCUCCUCACGAGGCAAAGCAAACCAAGAUCAAAAAGACAGCCAGGGACCAGAUGUUACAAAACCUAAAGACUUCCCUUUCUCAGAACAGGACCCUAGCCACACAAUAUCACCACACCAGUUCUGAGGAUGAAUUUCCACAACGUCAUGGUAUUUUUUUCCACUCCUGAUAAUCACACCAGUUCUGAUGAUGCCACAAACAUGGGGAGCCCACAACAUCCUGGCAUUGGUCGUGGGGGAACCUUUAGCCUAUCCCAGGGAACAUCGGGCCAGGGCAGGGUACACCCUGGACAGGGUGCCAUUCCAUCGCACGGCACAAUCACAUACACACUCGCACACCCAUUCAUACAUUAUGGACAGUUUAGACAUGCCAAUCAGCCUACCAUGCAUGUCUUUGGACUGGGGGAGGAAACCCCCACAGCACAGGGGGAACAUGCAAACUCCGCAUACACAUGGCCCCGGCGGGAAUCGAACCCCGGACCCUGGAGGUGUAAGGCGAACGUGCUAUGUAUCACCUCUCAGUAAUUGCAUUACUUCUAAG
Molecule: long non-coding RNA, 751 nt
Organism: Ictalurus punctatus (channel catfish)
Lineage: Eukaryota; Metazoa; Chordata; Actinopteri; Siluriformes; Ictaluridae
Source: Ensembl